GUUUACUUCAGACUCAAGAUGGUGUUUCUGGCUAGAGGUGUUAAGAGAAAGCAAUCAUUUCUGCACAGCUAAUUAAUAGUUCUUACUCAGGAUUGCCAGACAUGAAGAUAUGCUGAAUGUAAUUGGGAGCAAGUUCUUGGAUGAAGCUUUAUUGCAAUCUCUCUGCCUGGGUUUUUUCCUGGGGACACCAAAUACUUAAACAUGGGUACGGAGAAAGUGCCUAAUUCAGUAGCUUGUGGGUGUUCAGCAGGACUGCAUUCAGCUGCAUUUGUAAUCCUGAGCAUUUUCCUUCUUUGUCUCCCAUAUCGUAGGUAGUUGUUUCUGGCUGUCUAGAAGAGUGUGUUCAGCUUGCAUGUUGUGUCAUGAUUUUUCAAUGAAAGUUCUUAAUACCCUUCUGUUUGUGGAACAAAACCAAAUGCUAGAGUCUCAGCAGUUGUGAUUAAAUACGGUUCUUGUUUUCCACAUGAACCUGCCAGUGACAUGGAAAUGCUGGCAACACAAAGCAACUAUUGUGACACAGCUUGUCAGGAAAGAAAAACCAGAACUUUCACUGCUCUGGGCUUCUGAUGACAGGUGCCCAAGUGGCUGCUGCCUGACUGUUGUGCUUGCUUCCACACACACAAGACAUCACUAAUUCACAGAAGGAGGCUAGAUAUCCAGUGAGUACCGAUAAUGAGAUUACCACCAAACAAAGGACUUCCAGAUAUGAUCAGGUGCCAUUAUAUCUCUUGUGGUUUUACUGCUGCAGUUUCGGCCGUAGACCAAAUGCUGUUUUGCUGUCUGAAGAGAUCUCAGCAAAGGGGCAGUAGUUAAAGAGGAACGAUUACAUUGUAAAAAGCCAUAAAACCUUCCAGGAUUCAGAGUCUCAGGGGAAAGCAGAAAGGAACCCAAGACGAAGUCACACAUUGUGGAUCCAUAGAGCCCGACAUCACUAGACUGUGUUGCCAAGAUGGCAUGGCUCAGGCAUCACUACUGGAAGUGCUGGCACUUACCUCUGGGAAAUCAGUGGGACUCACUGUGGAGCAAAGCAUUGUCAGCAAGUGCUGCUUCACAGAUCUGCCUGUUUGAGUUAUAGAAGGAUGCCAGGACCACGCUGUCCUUCAUUACGUGAUGGAGACUCGGUUGCUCUUACAGAAACUCUGAAUCCUGCUGGCUGCUGUAAAGAAAUGAGAAGGAAGUUUCAGUCUUCCAGUUGGAGAGGAGUGACACAGAUGUUUAAGACGCAAGCAGCUUAGAUGUAACACAUUCUUUAAAUUAGGAGAGAAGAACCUUUUUCAUUACAUUCCAAAGAAUUGUGAAAGAUGUGGAAAUCACUGCUUGGAAAACUGUACUUCUACAGGGAGCUGAGUGAAGUCCUACUGAUUCUCACUGCAAUGAAGUACUCAGGACACUUUUUUUGAGCCCACCACUACAGUCAUCACAAAGACAACACUUAGUCCAAGAAGAUUCUAGGCCUUCUUCAGAAGGUGCUGCUAAUUCCCCUAUUUUCUUCCAGAAAUGGGAAAAAUGAUCUAUAUUAGGAAAUGCGUUCUUCCUUU
This 1538-nucleotide long non-coding RNA is filed under the name Gallus gallus (chicken). The record is from RNAcentral. Lineage: Eukaryota; Metazoa; Chordata; Aves; Galliformes; Phasianidae.